CGUCGAAUUCGUGUCAGCACCAGAUUGUCUACUGAAUACUACGAAAGCUUAGAAUUUCUGUAGUCUUCGGAAGUUAGAACUCAUCUAUCUACUAGGAAAGUAGCAAUGAGAUGCUUUCCGGGCAAGGAGAGUGAAGUUCCCAAUGUUUGAUGCAACCGGUAAAGGGGGAUUGGCUACACGCGCUAAUGGUGCUGCCAAUCUGCAAACAAACAUUUACCAAAGGGAAUUGUAUAGUUGGAGAAGUAGAGGCGGAAC
Dalotia coriaria is the source of this 255-nucleotide long non-coding RNA. RefSeq lists it as uncharacterized. The record is from RefSeq and is a predicted model, not a curated record. The transcript is spliced from 3 exons. Lineage: Eukaryota; Metazoa; Arthropoda; Insecta; Coleoptera; Staphylinidae.